AUAGACAAAAACAUCACAUACACGCACACACACACAUACAAUAAGUGAUCAUUUUACCUUUAACUCAUGCAUUUUAGCACUUGUCUUGAUUGAUCGUAUUGCAUUUAGAAGAACCAGAGUCUUGCAGCUUGAGCCCUAGAAUCACAGCUCGAGCAUUGAAAGGAAGUUUCAAGAAGAUUCAAAUUUUGUUUACGCAGCUAAAGCAGAGAACAUGGUGCCUUAGCAAUGCGAAGGAGACUUCACCAUGAAGUAAUCUGAAGCACCCAAUUCUAGAGCUCAAUCAUGGAGGAAACCCACCAUUGAAGGAAAGCUUCUGAGUUGAACAUUACAAAAAUGGUUUAAGCUAUGAAAAAACCUCCGUGGAAGGAAAGCUCACAA
Molecule: long non-coding RNA, 378 nt
Organism: Vigna unguiculata (cowpea)
Lineage: Eukaryota; Viridiplantae; Streptophyta; Magnoliopsida; Fabales; Fabaceae
Source: RefSeq, a predicted model, not a curated record